UACGGAGGAUCCAAGCGUUAUCCGGAAUCAUUGGGUUUAAAGGGUCCGUAGGCGGUUUUGUAAGUCAGUGGUGAAAGCCCAUCGCUCAACGGUGGAACGGCCAUUGAUACUGCAAGACUUGAAUUAUUGGGAAGUAACUAGAAUAUGUAGUGUAGCGGUGAAAUGCUUAGAGAUUACAUGGAAUACCAAUUGCGAAGGCAGCUUACUACGGGUGUAUUGACACUGAGGCACGAAAGCGUGGGGAUCAAACAGG
Molecule: ribosomal RNA, 253 nt
Filed under: uncultured bacterium
Lineage: Bacteria
Description: partial 16S ribosomal RNA
Rfam family: Bacterial small subunit ribosomal RNA
Source: RNAcentral